RNAcentral lists this transfer-messenger RNA (368 nucleotides) under Basfia succiniciproducens. RNAcentral describes it as "Standard tmRNA". It matches the Rfam family "transfer-messenger RNA". Rfam says of the family: Bacterial tmRNA, also known as 10Sa RNA or SsrA, is named for its dual tRNA and mRNA-like properties. Its role is to liberate the mRNA from a stalled ribosome. Lineage: Bacteria; Pseudomonadati; Pseudomonadota; Gammaproteobacteria; Pasteurellales; Pasteurellaceae. The record is from RNAcentral.
GGGGCUGAUUCUGGAUUCGACGGGAUUGGCGAAGCCCAAGGUGCACGUCGAGGUGCGGUAGGCCUCGUAAAUAAACCGCAAAAAAAUAGUCGCAAACGACGAACAAUACGCUUUAGCAGCUUAAUAACCUGCAUUUAGCCUUCGCUCCCUAGCUUCCGCUCGUAAGACGGGGAUCAAGCGGAGUCAAAUUUAAACGAGAUCGUGUGGACGCUUCGGCUUGGAGAUCGAAACACUAAAUUGAAUCAAGCUAGUUUAUUCUUCGCGUGUCUGUCCGCAGGGGGGUAAAUGAAAUUAAAGACUAGACUAAACGUGUAGUGCUGAAGGUAGAGUAAUUUCGGACGCGGGUUCAACUCCCGCCAGCUCCACCA